GACGAACGCUGGCGGCGUGCUUAACACAUGCAAGUCGAACGGUAAGGCCCUUCGGGGUACACGAGUGGCGAACGGGUGAGUAACACGUGGGUGAUCUGCCCUGCACUUCGGGAUAAGCCUGGGAAACUGGGUCUAAUACCGGAUAGGACCACUGCCUGCAUGGGGGGUGGUGGAAAGCUUUCGCGGUGUGGGAUGGGCCCGCGGCCUAUCAGCUUGUUGGUGGGGUGAUGGCCUACCAAGGCGACGACGGGUAGCCGGCCUGAGAGGGUGACCGGCCACACUGGGACUGAGGUACGGCCCAGACUCCUACGGGAGGCAGCAGUGGGGAAUAUUGCACAAUGGGCGCAAGCCUGAUGCAGCGACGCCGCGUGAGGGAUGACGGCCUUCGGGUUGUAAACCUCUUUCAGCACCGACGAAGCGCAAGUGACGGUAGGUGCAGAAGAAGGACCGGCCAACUACGUGCCAGCCGCCGCAGUAA
Molecule: ribosomal RNA, 478 nt
Filed under: uncultured bacterium
Lineage: Bacteria
Description: partial 16S ribosomal RNA
Rfam family: Bacterial small subunit ribosomal RNA
Source: RNAcentral